Molecule: non-coding RNA, 226 nt
Organism: Cinara cedri
Lineage: Eukaryota; Metazoa; Arthropoda; Insecta; Hemiptera; Aphididae
Source: the annotation of a GenBank genome assembly
CGGACCGCUGGCUGGAAACUGCUGAUGACAUAGAAUCUGGCUUUUGACUAUAGUUUUUAUUUAAAACAAUCGAGUUUAAUACAUUCUCGUUGAAAAUCUCCUGUCAGCAAGCCGUUUUGCGUCAAACCCGAUCGUACGUUUGACUUGAUAUUGUCAUGUUGUUUAACAAAUAUUUUUUUUUAUGUUCAACGAAUUUGGAUACGGUUACACUGUUCUUAUGUCGUUU